Callithrix jacchus (white-tufted-ear marmoset) is the source of this 103-nucleotide small nuclear RNA. The record is from Ensembl. Lineage: Eukaryota; Metazoa; Chordata; Mammalia; Primates; Cebidae.
UCGCUUCAGCAGUGUAUAUAUUAAAAUUGGGAUGAUACAGGGAAGAUUCACAAGGCCCCUAUGGAAGGUUGGCAUGUAAAUUUGUGAACUGUUCCACUUUUAC